CGGGGGGAGCAAGCGUUGUUCGGAUUUACUGGGCGUAAAGGGCGCGUAGGCGGCCACGACAAGUCACUUGUGAAAUCUCCGGGCUUAACUCGGAACGGUCAAGUGAUACUGUCGGGCUAGAGUACAGAAGGGGCAACUGGAAUUCUCGGUGUAGCGGUGAAAUGCGUAGAUAUCGAGAGGAACACCUGCGGCGAAGGCGGGUUGCUGGGCUGAUACUGACGCUGAUGCGCGAAAGCCAGGGGAGCGAACGGGAUUAGAUACCCCGGUAGUCCUGGCCUUAAACGAUGAAUGCUUGGUGUCUCGGGUUACAUAGUCCCGGGGUGCCGUCGCUAACGCUUUUAGCAUUCCGCCUGGGGAGUACGGUCGCAAGACUG
RNAcentral lists this ribosomal RNA (374 nucleotides) under uncultured organism. RNAcentral's name for it is "bacterial SSU rRNA". It matches the Rfam family "Bacterial small subunit ribosomal RNA", at positions 526 to 896 of the family's 1533-position model. The record is from RNAcentral.